RNAcentral lists this ribosomal RNA (425 nucleotides) under uncultured bacterium. Its description in RNAcentral is "bacterial SSU rRNA". It matches the Rfam family "Bacterial small subunit ribosomal RNA", at positions 354 to 796 of the family's 1533-position model. The record is from RNAcentral.
GUGGGGAAUAUUGGACAAUGGGCGAAAGCCUGAUCCAGCCAUGCCGCGUGAGUGAUGAAGGCCCUAGGGUUGUAAAGCUCUUUCACCGGUGAAGAUAAUGACGGUAACCGGAGAAGAAGCCCCGGCUAACUUCGUGCCAGCAGCCGCGGUAAUACGAAGGGGGCUAGCGUUGUUCGGAAUUACUGGGCGUAAAGCGCACGUAGGCGGACUAUUAAGUCAGGGGUGAAAUCCCGGGGCUCAACCCCGGAACUGCCUUUGAUACUGGUAGUCUCGAGUCCGGAAGAGGUGAGUGGAAUUCCGAGUGUAGAGGUGAAAUUCGUAGAUAUUCGGAGGAACACCAGUGGCGAAGGCGGCUCACUGGUCCGGUACUGACGCUGAGGUGCGAAAGCGUGGGGAGCAAACAGGAUUAGAAACCCUAGUAGUCC